GCGUUGCUCGGAAUCACUGGGCGUAAAGGGCGCGUAGGCGGAUCUUUAAGUCGGGGGUGAAAGCCCAGGGCUCAACCCUGGAAUUGCCCUCGAUACUGAAGAUCUUGAGACCGGUAGAGGUAAGUGGAACUGCGAGUGUAGAGGUGAAAUUCGUAGAUAUUCGCAAGAACACCAGUGGCGAAGGCGGCUUACUGGACCGGUUCUGACGCUGAGGCGCGAAAGCGUG
This 226-nucleotide ribosomal RNA is filed under the name uncultured bacterium. RNAcentral describes it as "partial 16S ribosomal RNA". It matches the Rfam family "Bacterial small subunit ribosomal RNA", at positions 538 to 763 of the family's 1533-position model. The record is from RNAcentral.